CCCGGGCCUUGUACACACCGCCCGUCACACCAUGGGAGUUGGUUCUACUCUAAGACGGUUAGCUAACCGCAAGGGGGCUGCCGGCCACGGUAGGGUCAGCGACUGGGGUG
This 110-nucleotide ribosomal RNA is filed under the name uncultured bacterium. Its description in RNAcentral is "partial 16S ribosomal RNA". It matches the Rfam family "Bacterial small subunit ribosomal RNA", at positions 1373 to 1482 of the family's 1533-position model. The record is from RNAcentral.